RNAcentral lists this ribosomal RNA (460 nucleotides) under uncultured bacterium. Its description in RNAcentral is "partial 16S ribosomal RNA". It matches the Rfam family "Bacterial small subunit ribosomal RNA", at positions 338 to 795 of the family's 1533-position model. The record is from RNAcentral.
CCUACGGGAGGCAGCAGUGAGGAAUAUUGGUCAAUGGACGCAAGUCUGAACCAGCCAUGCCGCGUGCAGGAAGACGGCUCUAUGAGUUGUAAACUGCUUUUGUACGAGGGUAAACGCAGAUACGCGUAUCUGUCUGAAAGUAUCGUACGAAUAAGGAUCGGCUAACUCCGUGCCAGCAGCCGCGGUAAUACGGAGGAUUCAAGCGUUAUCCGGAUUGAUUGGGUUUAAAGGGUGCGUAGGCGGUGGGAUAAGUUAGAGGUCAAAUCCCGGGGCUCAACUUUGGAAUUGCCUGUGAUACUGUUCGGCUAGAGAGUAGGUGAGGUAGGCGGAAUGUAUGGUGUAGCGGUGAAAUGCUUAGAGAUCAUACAGAACACCGAUAGCGAAGGCAGCUUACUAAGCUACUUCUGACGUUGAGGUGCGAAAGCGUGGGGAGCAAACAGGAUUAGAUACCCCAGUAGUC